CUUUGUUCUCUCUUUUAAUUAGCCGUUGAUUUUUUUCCCCCUUCUUGCGCAGCACGCCUAUUCGCAUGCGGAUGAUCACCCCCACCCACCCCUCCUCCACCCGCUCGCUCGCUUGCUCGCUCGGAUGAGGGGAAGGCAGGCAUGGCGGGCCGUAAUCACGGCUGCAAGUGGGGCGGAAAACACCUGUUCCAGAGAGAGCAGCAUGUGUCAUGGUCGGCCCGUCUCCAGUGAUAGAGAGCCGUCUGUGGAGAGGAGACGGCGGGCGGGAGCGAGGCGCGGAGAUAAAGCACCAGGUCACCAAGGACACACAGCAUAUUUUCAUUUGGAUGCAUGAAAAAU
Long non-coding RNA from Clupea harengus (Atlantic herring), 339 nucleotides. Lineage: Eukaryota; Metazoa; Chordata; Actinopteri; Clupeiformes; Clupeidae. The record is from Ensembl.